Molecule: unclassified non-coding RNA, 316 nt
Filed under: plant metagenome
Description: partial contains 5.8S ribosomal RNA, internal transcribed spacer 2, and large subunit ribosomal RNA
Rfam family: 5.8S ribosomal RNA (bases 1-106)
Source: RNAcentral
CGAACUGCGAUAAGUAAUGUGAAUUGCAGAAUUCAGUGAAUCAUCGAGUCUUUGAACGCACAUUGCGCCCCCUGGCAUUCCGGGGGGCAUGCCUGUCCGAGCGUCAUUGCUGCCCUCAAGCCCGGCUUGUGUGUUGGGUCGUCGUCCCCCCCGGGGGACGGGCCCGAAAGGCAGCGGCGGCACCGUGUCCGGUCCUCGAGCGUAUGGGGCUUUGUCACCCGCUCGAUUAGGGCCGGCCGGGCGCCAGCCGGCGUCUCCAACCUUAUUUUUCUCAGGUUGACCUCGGAUCAGGUAGGGAUACCCGCUGAACUUAAGC